RNAcentral lists this ribosomal RNA (459 nucleotides) under uncultured bacterium. RNAcentral describes it as "partial 16S ribosomal RNA". It matches the Rfam family "Bacterial small subunit ribosomal RNA", at positions 338 to 795 of the family's 1533-position model. The record is from RNAcentral.
CCUACGGGAGGCUGCAGUGAGGAAUAUUGGUCAAUGGCCGCAGGGCUGAACCAGCCAAGUCGCGUGAGGGAUGACGGUCCUAUGGAUUGUAAACCUCUUUUGUCAGGGAGCAAAGGGCGCCACGUGUGGCGUUUUGCGAGUACCUGAAGAAAAAGCAUCGGCUAACUCCGUUACAGCAGCCGCGGUAAUACGGAGGAUGCGAGCGUUAUCCGGAUUUAUUGGGUUUAAAGGGUGCGCAGGCGGAAUGUCAAGUCAGCGGUAAAAUUUCGGGGCUCAACCCCGUCGUGCCGUUGAAACUGGCGGUCUUGAGUGAGCGAGAAGUAUGCGGAAUGCGUGGUGUAGCGGUGAAAUGCAUAGAUAUCACGCAGAACUCCGAUUGCGAAGGCAGCAUACCGGCGCUCAACUGACGCUCAUGCACGAAAGCGUGGGUAUCGAACAGGAUUAGAUACCCGAGUAGUC